Unclassified non-coding RNA from Phascolarctos cinereus (koala), 299 nucleotides. It matches the Rfam family "Metazoan signal recognition particle RNA". From Rfam's summary of the family: The signal recognition particle (SRP) is a universally conserved ribonucleoprotein. It is involved in the co-translational targeting of proteins to membranes. NCBI's taxonomy places the organism in Eukaryota, Metazoa, Chordata, Mammalia, Diprotodontia, Phascolarctidae. The record is from Ensembl.
CCCAGGCAUGUGGCACAUGUCUAUAACCCUUGUUCCCAGAAGGGCUAUUUUGCAGAUCUCUUGAGCUUAGGAGUUCUGAACUGCAGUGAGCUAUGCAUAUUAAGUGUCCAUACUAAGUUUGGCUUCAAUAUGGCAACCUUCUGGGAGUAAGAGGAUAACCAAGUUGCCUAAAAGUGGGCAAACCAAUCCAGGUUGAAAUCAGAGUGGGCCAAAACUCAUGUGCCGAUCAGCAAUGCAAAUAGAUUUUUGAAUAGCACCUGCACUUCUAGCUUUUGGUGAGAUGGGGAGAUCCAGCCUUU